AGUGAACGCUGGCGGUAGGCCUAACACAUGCAAGUCGAACGGCAGCACAGUAAGAGCUUGCUCUUACGGGUGGCGAGUGGCGGACGGGUGAGGAAUACAUCGGAAUCUACUUUUUCGUGGGGGAUAACGUAGGGAAACUUACGCUAAUACCGCAUACGACCUACGGGUGAAAGCAGGGGAUCUUCGGACCUUGCGCGAUUGAAUGAGCCGAUGUCGGAUUAGCUAGUUGGCGGGGUAAAGGCCCACCAAGGCGACGAUCCGUAGCUGGUCUGAGAGGAUGAUCAGCCACACUGGAACUGAGACACGGUCCAGACUCCUACGGGAGGCAGCAGUGGGGAAUAUUGGACAAUGGGCGCAAGCCUGAUCCAGCCAUACCGCGUGGGUGAAGAAGGCCUUCGGGUUGUAAAGCCCUUUUGUUGGGAAAGAAAGGCAGCAGGUUAAUACCCCGCUGUUCUGACGGUACCCAAGGAAUAAGCACCGGCUAACUUCGUG
RNAcentral lists this ribosomal RNA (492 nucleotides) under uncultured bacterium. RNAcentral describes it as "partial 16S ribosomal RNA". It matches the Rfam family "Bacterial small subunit ribosomal RNA", at positions 29 to 507 of the family's 1533-position model. The record is from RNAcentral.